GAAAGGACGGGUAAUACCGGAUACCCCGGGGUGCCGCAUGGCACCCCGGCUAAAGCCCCGACGGGAGGGGAUGGCUCCGCGGCCCAUCAGGUAGACGGCGGGGUGACGGCCCACCGUGCCGACAACGGGUAGCCGGGUGAGAGACCGACCGGCCAGAUUGGGACUGAGACACGGCCCAGACUCCUACGGGAGGCAGCAGUGGGGAAUCUUGCGCAAUGGGGGGAACCCUGACGCAGCGACGCCGCGUGCGGGACGGAGGCCUUCGGGUCGUAAACCGCUUUCAGCAGGGAAGAGUCAAGACUGUACCUGCAGAAGAAGCCCCGGCUAACUACGUGCCAGCAGCCGCGGUAAUACGUAGGGGGCGAGCGUUAUCCGGAUUCAUUGGGCGUAAAGCGCGCGUAGGCGGCCCGGCAGGCCGGGGGUCGAAGCGGGGGGCUCAACCCCCCGAAGCCCCCGGAACCUCCGCGGCUUGGGUCCGGUAGGGGAGGGUGGAACACCCGGUGUAGCGGUGGAAUGCGCAGAUAUCGGGUGGAACACCGGUGGCGAAGGCGGCCCUCUGGGCCGAGACCGACGCUGAGGCGCGAAAGCUGGGGGAGCGAACAGGAUUAGAUACCCUGGUAGUCCCAGCCGUAAACGAUGGACGCUAGGUGUGGGGGGACGAUCCCCCCGUGCC
RNAcentral lists this ribosomal RNA (673 nucleotides) under uncultured bacterium. Its description in RNAcentral is "partial 16S ribosomal RNA". It matches the Rfam family "Bacterial small subunit ribosomal RNA", at positions 153 to 847 of the family's 1533-position model. The record is from RNAcentral.